GAUGAACGCUGGCGGCGUGCCUAAUACAUGCAAGUCGAGCGAAUGGAUUAAGAGCUUGCUCUUAUGAAGUUAGCGGCGGACGGGUGAGUAACACGUGGGUAACCUGCCCAUAAGACUGGGAUAACUCCGGGAAACCGGGGCUAAUACCGGAUAACAUUUUGAACCGCAUGGUUCGAAAUUGAAAGGCGGCUUCGGCUGUCACUGAGGGCUGGACCCGCGUCGCAUUAGCUAGUUGGUGAGGUAACGGCUCACCAAGGCAACGAUGCGUAGCCGACCUGAGAGGGUGAUCGGCCACACUGGGACUGAGACACGGCCCAGACUCCUACGGGAGGCAGCAGUAGGGAAUCUUCCGCAAUGGACGAAAGUCUGACGGAGCAACGCCGCGUGAGUGAUGAAGGCUUUCGGGUCGUAAAACUCUGUUGUUAGGGAAGAACAAGUGCUAGUUGAAUAAGCUGGCACCUUGACGGUACCUAACCAGAAAGCCACGGCUAACUACGUGCCAGCAGCCGCGGUAA
RNAcentral lists this ribosomal RNA (515 nucleotides) under uncultured bacterium. RNAcentral describes it as "partial 16S ribosomal RNA". It matches the Rfam family "Bacterial small subunit ribosomal RNA", at positions 28 to 523 of the family's 1533-position model. The record is from RNAcentral.